UUUGACCUCAAAUCAGGUAGGACUACCCGCUGAACUUAAGCAUAUCAAUAAGCGGAGGAAAAGAAACUAACAAGGAUUCCCCUAGUAACUGCGAGUGAACCGGGAAAAGCUCAAAUUUGAAAUCUGCCAGCCUCUCUUUUUUCUUUGGCUGUCCGAGUUGUAAUCUAGAGAAGUGCUUACCCGUGCUGGAC
Molecule: ribosomal RNA, 191 nt
Filed under: Amanita huijsmanii
Lineage: Eukaryota; Fungi; Basidiomycota; Agaricomycetes; Agaricales; Amanitaceae
Description: partial 28S ribosomal RNA
Rfam family: Eukaryotic large subunit ribosomal RNA
Source: RNAcentral